This 32-nucleotide small RNA is filed under the name Bombyx mori (domestic silkworm). RNAcentral's name for it is "ovarian small RNA-15110". The record is from RNAcentral. Lineage: Eukaryota; Metazoa; Arthropoda; Insecta; Lepidoptera; Bombycidae.
GAAAUUAGGAAGGUCUCCUGCACCAGAAGGAU